AUUGAACGCUGGCGGCAGGCUUAACACAUGCAAGUCGAGCGGGGGAAGGUAGCUUGCUACCGGACCUAGCGGCGGACGGGUGAGUAAUGCUUAGGAAUCUGCCUAUUAGUGGGGGACGACAUCUCGAAAGGGAUGCUAAUACCGCAUACGUCCUACGGGAGAAAGCAGGGGAUCUUCGGACCUUGCGCUAAUAGAUGAGCCGAAGUCGGAUUAGCUAGUUGGUGGGGUAAAGGCCUACCAAGGCGACGAUCUGUAGCGGGUCUGAGAGGAUGAUCCGCCACACUGGGACUGAGACACGGCCCAGACUCCUACGGGAGGCAGCAGUGGGGAAUAUUGGACAAUGGGGGGAACCCUGAUCCAGCCAUGCCGCGUGUGUGAAGAAGGCCUUAUGGUAGUAAAGCACUUUAAGCGAGGAGGAGGCUACUCUAGUUAAUACCUAGGGAUAGUGGACGUUACUCGCAGAAUAAGCACCGGCUAACUCUGUGCCAGCCGCCGCAGUAA
Molecule: ribosomal RNA, 501 nt
Filed under: uncultured bacterium
Lineage: Bacteria
Description: partial 16S ribosomal RNA
Rfam family: Bacterial small subunit ribosomal RNA
Source: RNAcentral